Molecule: small nuclear RNA, 151 nt
Filed under: Erinaceus europaeus (western European hedgehog)
Lineage: Eukaryota; Metazoa; Chordata; Mammalia; Eulipotyphla; Erinaceidae
Description: U1 spliceosomal RNA (ENSEEUG00000022447.1)
Source: RNAcentral
GUACUGGCCUGGCAAGGAAGAUGCUGUGAUCACGUGUGCUGAUGCUUAUCUAUUACAUCCUGGAUGUACCGAGCUGUGACAUUUCCCCACAUGUGAAAAACUUGGCUGUGUAACUAAUGGUAGUGGGAGACUGCAUCCAUGCUCUCUCCUA